UACGGAGGGUGCAAGCGUUGUCCGGAUUUAUUGGGUUUAAAGGGUGCGUAGGCGGCCGUUUAAGUCCGGGGUGAAAGCCCACUGCUCAACAGUGGAACUGCCCUGGAAACUGGACGGCUUGAGUACAGACGAGGGUGGCGGAAUGGAUGCUGUAGCGGUGAAAUGCAUAGAUAGCAUCCAGAACACCGAUUGCGAAGGCAGCUGCCUAGACUGUAACUGACGCUGAGGCACGAAAGCGUGGGGAGCGAACAGG
Molecule: ribosomal RNA, 253 nt
Filed under: uncultured bacterium
Lineage: Bacteria
Description: partial 16S ribosomal RNA
Rfam family: Bacterial small subunit ribosomal RNA
Source: RNAcentral